UGAGGAAUAUUGGUCAAUGGGCGAAAGCCUGAACCAGCAACGCCGCGUGAGGGAUGAAGGCCUUCGGGUCGUAAACCUCUUUUCUGGGAGACGAGACAAGGACGGUAUCCCAGGAAUAAGUCUCGGCUAACUACGUGCCAGCAGCCGCGGUAAAACGUAGGAGGCAAGCGUUAUCCGGAUUUACUGGGCGUAAAGCGCACGCAGGCGGCUGCGUAAGUCGGACGUGAAAGCUCCUGGCUCAACUGGGAGAGGUCGUUCGAAACUGCGCGGCUUGAGGUUGGAAGAGGAGAGCGGAAUUCCCGGUGUAGUGGUGCAAUGCGUAGAUAUCGGGAGGAACACCAGUGGCGAAAGCGGCUCUCUGGUCCACACCUGACGCUCAGGGGCGAAAGCGUGGGUAGUGAACGG
Molecule: ribosomal RNA, 405 nt
Filed under: uncultured bacterium
Lineage: Bacteria
Description: bacterial SSU rRNA
Rfam family: Bacterial small subunit ribosomal RNA
Source: RNAcentral